GACGAACGCUGGCGGCGUGCUUAACACAUGCAAGUCGAACGGAAAGGCCUGCUUUCCCUUGUGGAUUGCGGGUACUCGAGUGGCGAACGGGUGAGUAACACGUGAGUUAUCUGCCCCCAACUUGGGUAUAAGCCUGGGAAACUGGGUCUAAUUCCCGAUAGGACUGCAGGGUGGUGCCUGUGGUGGAAAACGAUUUUCUAGUGGUUGGGGAUGAGCUCGCGGCCUAUCAGCUUGUUGGUGGGGUAAUGGCCGACCAAGGCGGCGACGGGUAGCCGGCCUGAGAGGGUGGACGGCCACAUUGGGACUGAGAUACGGCCCAGACUCCUACGGGAGGCAGCAGUGGGGAAGAUUGCACAAGGGGCGGAAGCCUGAGGCAGCGACGCCGCGUGGGGGAUGACGGCCUUCGGGUUGUAAACUCCUUUCGACCGCGAGGAAGCCACCUGGUUGGAAGGGUGGUGACGGUAGUGGUAGAAGAAGCACCGGCUAACUACGUG
This 494-nucleotide ribosomal RNA is filed under the name uncultured bacterium. RNAcentral describes it as "partial 16S ribosomal RNA". It matches the Rfam family "Bacterial small subunit ribosomal RNA", at positions 28 to 507 of the family's 1533-position model. The record is from RNAcentral.